CUGAAUCCACCGCAACCCCUUCAAAAUCAGUCCCAAAAUCCAAUCAACCUACAAAUCCAGCACCCCACAUUCUCGGCCGUCGAUUUAUCUAAUUUCCUCAUCGGAGAGGCCUCCACGCCUUGGUCGUGGCCAUGGUGAGUUGAGGUGUUCGCCGCCCCUGCUGCCACUGGCGACAUCGACCCUCGGCGCCACCGGUAGCUACCUCUCCGUGAGCCGCAGUAACCCUUCAACAUCUGCUCCCUGGUGCUGCCAGUCUCAACGCUCCCUCCGUUCCAGGUGAUGCUAAGUCAACGCCGCCCGCCGGGGCCAGGGAGGCUGCUCGGGCAUGGCCGGGCGGGGUGGCCGUGGCGGGCGGCGGGGCCGAGGCCGGGGCAGCACGGGUGGCUGGGGUGGCGGGUUCAAGGGCCCUCCUGCGCGUGCUGUCCCUCGCAGUCGACCGCCUCCGCGCGUCGUUCAGCUUCUCGCUGCCGACCACGCGCCGCUCUUCGAAUAUGCGGCCGCGGAGCCAUCCCCCUAGCUGCCGGCGAGGGGGGCCGCGGCGGCGGCGGGGAAUGACGGCCACGACGAUGAGCUCAAGCGCGAGGAGGUGGUGUGCAUCGAGAGGACCCGGUUGGAGGCGGCCAUGGAGCUGGCGCCCAGCAGCCGGCGUCCGCGGACGAGGAGGACGCGGAGGGCGGUGGCGGCCGAGGAGUCGACGCGCGCGCACGACGUCGUCGUCACCCCUGCUCGCGCCCACCUCGCGGCGGCGGUGGUGAGGGAGGCCGGCGUCGGUGCUGGUGCUGGGCUCGGCGAGGUGUUGGCGGUGGAGGUGGACGCGCGCGCGGACGACUUCAUCUGGCGGUUCCGGGAGCAGCUCCGGCUACAGCGCCUCGACUCCAUCCUCCGCUACCGGGACACGCUCACGUACCGCGGUUAAUAAAUCAAUUGUUAGACCCACCCGUCAAUGACUAAAGUUGGAUCAAAUAAAAAAAAGUGGGCAGCAGGAUCCACACUUUAUAAAUAGUACUAGUAUAGAUAGAUUUUGUAGAGGUGAUGCUCGUUGGGUUUCCGCCCCUACCGGUCAAUCAUUAUCUUCAAAAUCAAAAGUAGACCGGUAGUAUAGAUAGAUUUUGUAGAGGUGAUGCUCGUUGGGUUUCCGCCCCUACCGGUCAAUCAUUAUCUUCAAAAUCAAAAGUAGACCGGCAGGUUAAAGUCCCGUUUGGUUUGAGUUGUCUAUGCGUAAGCAACUAAAAAUAAGUAACUUAUUUGCUUAUGAAACCAAUCACCCUUGCUUAUUGGGUUACUUAUGGGGCUGCUUAUUUUUAGCCUUGUGUUGCUUAUGAG
Molecule: long non-coding RNA, 1323 nt
Filed under: Setaria italica (foxtail millet)
Lineage: Eukaryota; Viridiplantae; Streptophyta; Magnoliopsida; Poales; Poaceae
Description: long non-coding RNA (SITA_LNC007180)
Source: RNAcentral